Molecule: ribosomal RNA, 239 nt
Filed under: Hyaloscyphaceae sp.
Lineage: Eukaryota; Fungi; Ascomycota; Leotiomycetes; Helotiales; Hyaloscyphaceae
Description: partial large subunit ribosomal RNA
Rfam family: Eukaryotic large subunit ribosomal RNA
Source: RNAcentral
ACAGCUCAAAUUUGAAAUCUGGCUCUUCUAGGGUCCGAGUUGUAAUUUGUAGAAGAUGCUUUGGGUGUGGCUCCGGUCUAAGUUCCUUGGAACAGGACGUCAUAGAGGGUGAGAAUCCCGUAUGUGACUGGGUGCUUUCGCUCGUGUAAAGCUCUUUCGACGAGUCGAGUUGUUUGGGAAUGCAGCUCAAAAUGGGUGGUAAAUUUCAUCUAAAGCUAAAUAUUGGCGAGAGACCGAUA